This 350-nucleotide ribosomal RNA is filed under the name uncultured bacterium. RNAcentral's name for it is "bacterial SSU rRNA". It matches the Rfam family "Bacterial small subunit ribosomal RNA", at positions 1050 to 1400 of the family's 1533-position model. The record is from RNAcentral.
UGUCGUCAGCUCGUGUCGUGAGAUGUUGGGUUAAGUCCCGCAACGAGCGCAACCCCUAUCCUAUGUUGCAAACCCCGCAAGGGGUGCACUCUUAGGAGACUGCCUCGGAUAACGGGGAGGAAGGUGGGGACGACGUCAAAUCAUCAUGGCCUUUAUGUCCAGGGCUACACACGUGCUACAAUGGCCGGCACAGCGGGACGCAAUACCGUAAGGUGGAGCAAAUCCCCAAAACCGGCCCCAGUUCGGAUUGUGGGCUGCAACCCGCCCACAUGAAGUCGGAAUCGCUAGUAAUCGCAGAUCAGCAGGCUGCGGUGAAUACGUUCCCGGGCCUUGUACACACCGCCCGUCAC